UACUGGGGUAUCAAAUUUCAUACCAUUGACUUAUGAAAUACGUUUUAUCGAUCUCCUUAUUUACUUCAUGUCAAUACAAAACUUUGAGCAAAUAAUUUUUUUAAAAAGGUUUUAAAACAAUAUAAAUAUUGUAUAAAUGUAAUUAAAGGGAUUAAAUUUAUCGAACAACAUAAUGAGGAAAUUGUUGCUUCUUACAUUUAUUUAUGUUUUCAUCUCUCUACUCUUACCCGAAGAACAACAUGUAGAUGCAAGAGUGAGCGGCAGCAGGACUAGGGCUAGUAGAUCACGUACAAUAUGACGGAGUGGCUAUGGGGGAUCAAGCGAGGACGGUGGCGGAGGAAACCUAAGUACCGGUGCUAUAGUAGCAAUAGUUAUUGCCAGUAUACUAGUUGUUGCUGUAACUGUAAUUGUUGUCUACUGGUUCUGUAGAUAAUAAGUGUUGUGAUUUAACCUUUCUUACACGGAUUGACAUUGAUAUUUUACUGUGAUACCAAACGUCGUGUUCAAACCGUAAAUAUCAAAUAUCACAAUUUGAACUACGUUAUGUGAUACAAUAUUUUCCCUUAUUUUUUGUAUUUCUUGUUUCUUAUUUGUUGUUCAUAAAUACUCAUACCGUACUACCUUUCUUUAUUAUUUAUUAUAUGCUGUAUAUUUGUGUAAUGACGAGGAACUGUUAUGUUCAAGUCAUAUUGAAUAAUAAAAUCUGUUCUGUUCUGUUUAUUUUAAUUAGGUUAAUUAUACAAAUUUUUGUCUCACUGUUCGUACAACAAUCAACGAAAGAAAGAAUCAAGACGCAGCAUUAGCUUUCAGGCUUUGCUCUCAACUUUGUAUAGUUUUACCAACACAAAUAUAUUCCUAUGAGUGAGCAUGAUUUACAAUUUUGUGUAAAUGCAUAUGAAAAAUAAAUUUUAAUUAAU
Molecule: long non-coding RNA, 917 nt
Organism: Ruditapes philippinarum (Manila clam)
Lineage: Eukaryota; Metazoa; Mollusca; Bivalvia; Venerida; Veneridae
Exons: 3
Source: RefSeq, a predicted model, not a curated record